RNA transcript from Leptopilina boulardi, 1323 nucleotides. It is a transcript of the gene named COMM domain-containing protein 4, with no coding region annotated. The transcript has 10 exons. NCBI's taxonomy places the organism in Eukaryota, Metazoa, Arthropoda, Insecta, Hymenoptera, Figitidae. The record is from RefSeq and is a predicted model, not a curated record.
AUUUAUUUUCACUCGUGUCUAUAACCUAUAUUUUGGAUGUUUUUGAUACAAAAUUGAAAUUUUUCAAGAAUUAUUGGAAAAUAUAAAUUAAAUCAUAAUUAAACGACAAUAUGUGGAUAUUAUCGAAUUCUGUCUAAAAUAAUAAAGGAAUAUUCAAGAUAGUUUCAUUGUAAAGAAUUGACGAAUGCAAAAGAUACAUAUAUAUACAAAUCUACAAGUUUCAUAGAAAUCUUACAGUGAAAUAUCCAAUAUAGAAAUUAAACACAAUGAGAUUUCGUUUCUUGGGUGAUGGAGACUGUCCUGAUUGGCUGCUGGCUGAAAUAAAUACAUUAUCACGAAUGACAUCAAUUAAAAUGAAGUUACUCGGUCAGGUUGUCGUCAAAUCAUUAACGGAAGGAGAGUUUGAUGAGGAAAAAGUAAAGAAAUUAACACAAGAUGCUAAACUUGAAUUGGAUGAUUCAAAAGCAAUUGUAGCGGCAUUGGAAUUAAUUUUAACAUCUUCGGCUCGUUAUGGAGUUUCUCCAGCAGAUUUAAGCAGUGAAUUACAACAACUUGGACUUCCUCGUGAACAUAGUGCUGCAAUUGCAAGGAUUCACACUGAUAAUUGUCCUCAAGUUACUGCUAUUCUUACAUCUCAAUCGCUUAGACUAAAUCGUCUGACAAGUUUUGAAGUUGUUCCCGGUGAUGAUUCAUCUCCAUUUAAUAAAAUUUCACUCAAAUUGAAAAAUAUUAAUGGACAGGAAGACGAAACAACUAUAAAUAUUUUAAGAAAUGAAAUUCCAGUUUUAUUAGCGGAUUUAAAGAAAGCAAGAGCUAAAAUGGAUGAAUACUGAAGUGGAUUUUUGAUUUUUUCAACUGAUUAGAAAAUUUUUUAUCAAAAGUUAUAUUCACAAAAACAAAAGCAGAGAAUUGGAGAUUUUUUUUUCUUCUCAAACUUUCAAGAGAUAUUUUAUUGUAGCUCUCUCGCCCUCUUUCUAAAGGUCGUCAUUGAUGAGAUCGAACAAUAAUGAUUAGUUUCGUCUGUGUCGGAACGCGUGUCCGGAAUAGAGUGUGCGGGCUCUCUCUCUCUCUCACCCCAGGCAGGUUGCAAUCAACCUCUCUGGAAAGUGAACAAAGUACAAACAAAAUUAGCGGUUGACACUGAGAAAGAAAAAUGGUCGAAUGCUUUUUGCCUUGUAACCGUUUCUUCACGAGUAUAUAUAUAGAUAAGGAAAAUGAGAACCGGAUGAAGACAAAAGGAGUGGAAAAAGUUUUUAAAUAUAUAAAUAUUAAAAAAAAAAUUAUUGUAAAAGUUUUUGGAAUUAAAAAAUGCUUUCAACACCA